Molecule: ribosomal RNA, 274 nt
Filed under: uncultured bacterium
Lineage: Bacteria
Description: partial 16S ribosomal RNA
Rfam family: Bacterial small subunit ribosomal RNA
Source: RNAcentral
AUACGGAGGGUGCAAGCGUUACUCGGAAUCACUGGGCGUAAAGAGAGUGUAGGUGGUUUAUUAAGUCGGAUGUGAAAUCCCGGGACUCAACCUCGGAACUGCAUUCGAUACUGAUAGGCUAGAGUUUGGGAGGGGUAAGCGGAAUUCCGUGUGUAGCAGUGAAAUGCGUAGAUAUACGGAGGAACACCUGAGGCGAAGGCGGCUUACUGGACCAAUACUGACACUGAGACUCGAAAGCGUGGGUAGCAAACAGGAUUAGAAACCCCGGUAGUCC